RNAcentral lists this unclassified non-coding RNA (5145 nucleotides) under Drosophila ananassae. RNAcentral describes it as "GF20504". The record is from RNAcentral. Lineage: Eukaryota; Metazoa; Arthropoda; Insecta; Diptera; Drosophilidae.
UACCUAAAUACAUUACUUUAUUAACUAAAAACAAUAAAAAAAAUUGGUCUCUUAAUGUAGGAAAUCUGAACAAUUGUGCGGCAAUGUAUUUAUCAGAAUUUUCUAUCUUUUUAUUAGUAUCGCUAUUGUGGUUAUGUUCUGGACUGUGUGAAAUAACAAAAUUCAAAAUGGAAACACGUUUAGAUAGAUAUGAAAAAAAUGGUAAAAAGUCUUUUGAGCGGCUGGAGGAUAAUAAAGAUACAACAUUUCAAUCAGGGGGUAAUUUUAAACAUUUAGAAGGGUUCAACGAUUCUGGUGACCACCAGAUAUCAAAUCUCUUUAAAACAAUUGCGUCUAAGUUAAACAGUGAUUUAAAAGUAUCAUCUUACCAUAAUGAAUUCAGUCGUAAAAUUCCAAUCGAUCCAACCAAAACUAUAAGCCCAGAUAAUAUAAAUCAACAUGAAAUUCCAAAAUUUCGCAAUAUUGGCGCACAAAAGAGCCUUAUUGAGAUUACGGGCAUUAAAGACAGUGAUCGUCUAAGUGCGAGAGGGCGCGAUGGACUUAUUGGCAUUAGCAAAAAUAAACAGAUGCCUUUUAAAUUAAAUUUAGCUGUUCUAGUUCAGGACGAUCCCAGUCAACCGGGUGAGACCUACAGCAAUUGUCCCAGUCAAAAUGAGUCUGAUGUAAGUGCUUGCAAAAAAGUAGAAGAUAUUAUGCCUAAGCUACAAAAGGACUGCGAAAAAAUGGGAUCACAUGUUAUGUGUCCUAGAACUUACCGUUGUAUUAGUAAGUAUUGGUUGUGCGACGGUGAUGAUGACUGUGGAGAUUAUUCGGAUGAAACACAUUGUGGUGUACGAACCAAUUGUACAGAUGAUCAAUUUGAAUGUCUGAAUGGGUUUUGCAUUCCGAGUACGUGGCAAUGUGAUGGUGAAAAUGACUGCAAAGACUUUUCUGAUGAAGCACAUUGUAACCAGACGAGCUGUACUGAUGAACAUUUCACAUGCCUUGAUGGAUUUUGCAUAUCCUUGGCUUUUAGAUGCGACGGUGAGCCUGAUUGUAUUGACAACUCAGAUGAACAUAAGUGUGCAGCGGUUAUAAAUAGUUGCCCAGAUGGUGAAUUUAAAUGUCGUGAAGGUCUUGGUGGUUCUGGAGGUCCAAGUGGACACUGCGUACUAAAUCGGUUCCGGUGUGAUGGUGAUAAUGAUUGCGGAGACUGGAGUGAUGAGGAAAACUGUUCUCGAAAGCCAUCACUAUGUACAACGAAUGAAUAUAAAUGUGCCGAUGGAACCUGUAUCCCAAAACGCUGGAAAUGUGAUAGGGAACAAGAUUGCGAUGGUGGUGAAGAUGAGAAUGACUGUGGAGCCGUAAAUUCAAGUCACUCUUUAUCGUGUGGCAAUGAUGAAUUCACUUGUAAGAAUGGACGUUGCAUUUUGAGAACAUGGCUUUGUGAUGGAUAUCCAGAUUGUACAUCGGGCGAAGAUGAGGUGGAGUGCCAUUUGCAGUGCGACUUAGGUCAAUUUUUAUGCCCAACAAUACAAAAUGAAACAAAUCAUAAAAUAUGUGUUCACCAAAAACACAUUUGUGAUGGCUAUAGAGAUUGUCCCUCUGGUGAGGACGAGUUAAACUGUCCUAAGCAACAAAAAUGCUUAGAUCCUAUGCAGUGUGAACAACUCUGUAUAAAAACUAGUUUGGGGAUAGAUGAAUGUGCUUGUCGUCUAGGAUAUCUUAUGGAUCAAAAUCGAAUUAACUGUACCGACAUAGAUGAAUGCCAGUACCUUACUAGUCCAGUUUGUUCCCAAAAAUGCCGCAAUACUAUAGGCUCAUUCAUAUGCUCAUGCGAAACGGGAUAUAUUCUUCGACCAGAUCUCCGGUCCUGCAAAGCACUGGGUGGUGCAAUGACUCUAUUAGUGGCUAAUAGAUGGGAUAUUCGUAGAGUUGCACUUAGCAAUAAUCGUUAUUCAGCUGUUGUCAAAGGCUUACACAAUGCAAUUGCAUUAGACUUUCAUUAUCGGAAGGGUCUUAUAUUUUGGUCUGACGUAUCUACCGAUAUUAUAAAAAUGGUAUUCAUAAAUGGCACCCGAGUUCGUGAUAUUAUUAAAUGGGGAUUAGAAUCUCCUGGUGGCGUAGCCAUAGAUUGGAUUCAUGAUUUACUUUUUUGGACAGAUUCUGGAACAAGACGGGUUGAGGUAUCCAAUUUUCAAGGAAAUUUUCGCACCGUUAUUGCAUCUUGUGACUUAGAUAAACCUCGUGCUGUUGUUGUACACCCAGGCGAAGCCUUAACAUUCUGGAGUGAUUGGGGACCAUAUCCAAAAAUAGAACGUGCUUACAUGGAUGGAAGCGAAAGAAAAAUUAUCAUUUCAAAAGGUGUUACUUGGCCGAAUGGCCUUGCAAUAGAUUACCCAAGUAGAAAAAUCUAUUGGGCCGAUGCCAAACAGCAUGCCAUAGAGUUUUCUAAUUUAGAUGGAUCCGAUCGAAAUAAAAUACUUAGUACCCAUUUACCCCAUCCAUUCGCUUUGACUAUAUUUGAAGACACAAUGUAUUGGACGGAUUGGAACACAAAGACGGUCUCUGCAGCUAAUAAAAUAUCAGGAAAAGAAUUUCGAGCGGUUGAUGAAAUUUUUCGAUUUCCUAUGGAUAUUCAUGCGUAUCAUCCGGCUCGACAGCCUGAUUAUGCAGAUCGUUGCCCAAAAGAUCGGAGAGGCUUGCGGGGAGGGUGUUCGCACUUGUGCUUACCAAACAAAACAUCUCGUCGAUGUAGCUGUCCAAUUGGGUUAUCCUUAAAGGAUGAUGGAAAAACUUGCAAAAAAACAGGGGAUAAACUCAUAUUAGUCGCUCGUCGCAAAGACAUAAGGUUACGACAACUUAAAAAUAAUGAGGAAGAUCCCUCAAAUGUAGAUAUGAUUAUUCCAUUGGAUAAUUUAAAACAUGCUGUUGCCCUUGAUUGGAGCAGUGAUACAGAUUUUAUUUAUUGGACUGAUGUGGAGCGCAGUACUAUAAAUAAAGCACAUCUUAAUGGCAGUGAGCAACAGCGUGUGGUCCACUCAAACUUAAUUUCACCUGUUGGCUUGGCAUUGGAUUGGAUUACUGAUAAGCUUUAUUGGACGGAUCCAUCCACAAAUCGAAUUGAAGUUGCAACUACGAAUGGAAAGCUACGAACUUUGCUAAUAUGGGAAAAACUCUACAAGCCCAGGGAUAUUGUUGUCAGCCCAAUUGAUGGACUUAUGUUUUGGUCCGAUUGGGGUGAUGAGCCUAUGAUUGAACGUGCAAAUAUGGAUGGAUGUGAGCGCUCUAUUAUAUCCUCAAAGAAACUCGUUUAUCCAAAUGGACUGGCAAUUGAUUAUGACCGUAGUAUGCUGUAUUUUGUUGAUGGUGGUAUCCACACUUUGGAGAGCAUGAACUUCGAUGGAAGCAACCGUAAAGUCAUUUUAAAUGGACUCGGGCAUCCAUUUGGAUUGGAUGUCAGCGAUGGUCGAGUUUAUUGGACCGAUUGGGAUAGCAAAUCAGUGAUGAGUGCCGACAAACUGUCUGGGAAAGACUUAAGUGUAAUCAUUGCCAAUAGUAGCGAUCUAAUGGAUGUACGUGUUUUCCAUCGAAACAGAAGGCGUGUUUUUAAUGAAUGCGAUAGGCAUAAUGGCGGUUGCUCUCAUUUAUGUCUUUUAAAUCCAAUAAGCUAUACUUGUGCGUGCGCAGUGGGAGUGCACUUAAAGAAUGAUAAGCGCACUUGUUCUGAAGGUCCAAAUAAAUAUAUUAUCUUCGCACAUAGAAUAGAUAUAAGACAAAUAUCUUUAGAUUUUGAUCAUUUAAUCGAUGUAGUUUUGCCAUUACCUCCAAUUUCAAACGCUGUAGCAUUAGACGUGGACAAGAAAACAGGUAAUAUUUUUUGGUCUGAUACUAUCGAGAAUGUUAUAAUGAGAUCCAGUCCUGAUGGAUUAAAUGUACAUAAAAUUGUUGGAGAAAGUUUGGAAAAUCCAGAUGGAUUGAUUGUUGAUUCGAUUGGUCGCAUGAUUUAUUGGGCAGAUGCAGGACGUCACACAAUAGAAGUCGCCAGCCUUGAUGGAAGGAAUCGUCAUAUAAUAGCUUAUAAAGACCUUGAGUCUCCACGUGGCCUGGCUCUUGAUUACGAAAUUGGUCUUCUAUUUUGGACCGAUUGGGGACAUUAUCGUAAAAUUGAAAGGUCCCACUUAGAUGGAGAUGAACGAUCACGUAUUGUUACCGCUAACUUAGGAUGGCCGAAUGGAUUGUCACUUGAUUUAAAGAGCAAGCGAAUAUACUGGGUGGAUGCGCUUCUUAAAAGUAUUGAUUCAUGUGAUUACACAGGAAACCAACGCAAGCUUAUACUGUCUUCCUUGCAUCAUCCAUAUGCUUUAGCUGUAACUGAAGAUAGUAUUUUUUGGACAGAUUGGAAGUCUAAAGCUCUUCAUAUGACAGAUAGGCGAAACAUCAGUUCAAGGCGUGAUGUUAUGACUAAUAUUGAAGGAUUAAUGGACAUUAAAGUUAUUUAUCAAGAGCAGCAAAAUUUCGAAAAUAUUUGCGGUCGUGAUAAUGGCGGAUGCUCUCACCUCUGUUUGCGUAAUCCAUCUGGUUACUCUUGUAAAUGCCCUAUUGGACUUCGUCUACUAAAAAACAGUACAACCCAGUGCCAGAGUCUUCCUGAUAGGAACAAUCUUAUCUUCGGAGGAAAAAUCGGAAAUCGAAGCGUUCAAUGAAUGUGGACUUUCUCUUCACAAAAUCGCCGAAAAAAAGGAAAAUACAUCGCAAAACCAUUGCAUAUUUUCUUCAAAAUAAGAAAAGCUACAGAAAAAGUUACAAAGGAGGUAAUAAAAGUGUUAUUAGUUCAACUGAUCGCAGGGCUAUCCUGAGGGUCUUAACGGAUAUAAUUAUUAUUUCUACGAUUUACGCAAGGAAGAGCAUCAUAUGGAUCGCGUACAUAGCCGGGUCGGAGGAGUAAUGCUCCUGCAGAGGGGAAUCUUUCCACUAAAUGCACUGCAAGUUGUCGGACGAAGCCAUCCUCGCACAACGGUACAUCUUCCAAAUGUCGCAAGUCAGCGCUACCGGAUGCGAUCGAAACCUCAGCAGGAUGCUUAAAAACAUUGGGCAGGAGUUUAUUAUGACUUUCUUCUAAUUGCAUUACGUUCAGGCAUUGGAAUGAUUUCCCUCAAUUCGGGU